RNAcentral lists this long non-coding RNA (2849 nucleotides) under Homo sapiens (human). RNAcentral's name for it is "HSALNT0163655". The record is from RNAcentral. Lineage: Eukaryota; Metazoa; Chordata; Mammalia; Primates; Hominidae.
GAGACAGCCAGGUGGGAGGGGGUCCCUGGAGAAUCUCCAACCAGCCUGCGCACUGGGAAUGCGCACUGGAGUGAAAAUACAGAAGUUGGUGCCCUUUGCAGCAGCCAGGAGUCCGACUCCUCCUCUUCCUGUGUGGAACCUGGAAUUCAAACGGCUGGGUAGGAAGCACGCUAGCAGGGGCCUCUGGCCUUGCUGAGGGUCCCUGUUUCCCCUUUUCCUUCCUUUUCACCCAACAAAACCCUGCUUUACUCACCCUUCAAACCAUCUAUGAGCCUAAAUUGUCGUGGUCGUGGAAUGGACAAGGACCCAGUCUUUAGCUGAACUAAGGGAAAGUCCUGCUUUUUGGCGCGCAACAGGGGAGCUCAAGAAACAGGCCUCACUCACGGCAUAUGGAACUAACCACGCCCCUAACUAAGAAGGCACACCUUAGUUGCAGUUAGCACACAAUUAAAGCAACUCUCCAAGUUUUACCUUAAAGUUCAAAAUUGCUAGGAGUUGAAACUACUAGAAAUAUAUUUACAUGCAAGAGUCAAAGAAACUUUGAACUAUUUAUGGCCUUUAAUAAUUAAGUAAGGUAUACUCCUGUGAUCAAGACUUGGAGCAUAUUUGUUUCUCUCUGCCUGGUUCCUCUAGAAAUUGGAAACUAUCAGAACAGAGACCAACUCCGUUUCCCGAUCCCUUUGCAAUCUGCAUUGAACCAUGAGUCAAGUUCUUGAUAAAGGAGUGAAAAUGGAUGACAUUUAAGGCACAUCUGAAGAUGGGGAAACCACAGCACAGAAUAAGGCUGGGCCCUUGAAUCAAUAAAUGAAGGAGAACUACUCAAGAGAACAAAACCACCAGCAAUAUCCACCUGUAUUUGUCUUUUCAUAAUGUGUGACACAUGUGCUCAUGGAUUAUUGUCCGAAGCAAGACAUGUGACCAAGCCUAACAUCAACUGGGUGAAGAGCUAUAUGUUCCUUUCUCAAGAGGCACUACAAGUGACAUGCCACUGGGCAGAUGGAGUCUCGCUCUGUCACCCAGGCUAGAGUGCAGUACCGCAAUCUCGGCUCGCUGCAAGCUCUGACUCCCAGGUUCACACCAUUCUCCUGCCUCAGCCUCCCAAGUAGCUGGCACUACAGGCGCCCACCACCAUGCCUGGCUAAUUUUUUAUAUUUUUAGUAGAGAAGGGGUUUCGCCGUGUUAGCCAGAAUGGUCUUGAUCUCCUGACCUCAUGAUCUGCCCACCUCGGCCUCCCAAAGUGCUGGGAUUACAGGCGUGAGCCACCGCGACUGGCCUAACAUAUUUUUAAAACCUGCAGAAUGUUUGUAUUACUUUUGUCAUAGUACAUAACAUUUAAAUGGAUUUCUUGUUUGUGUAUGUGUGUAUAUUCAUUCACAACACUGAUAGUUUUUCUGAAUAUUUCCUUUGGAUUUUAUUCUUUUCUCAUUCAACUAAAUAAGAACCUGCACCAUCUUUUUCUAGUGUAAAAAUUACAAUAUCUGAAGUGAAACUACUAGAAUAAAUCUUGUGACAAUUCUUAAGGAUUAUCUUUUAGUUGGUAUGGUUUCCAAAAAAGAUUGUACUAAGUUUUACUCCCAGUGGAAAUAUUUAAAGGCAAUACUUCCAUUUCUUUUUUACAGAAUAGAAUCCAAUUAUUCUUUUUCAUCCCAUUGUUGUAUACAGACUUUAUUUCAUUUACUUGUAGAUCAAAGGUUUUUUGGUUUCCUAUCUUUUGGACACUGUUUUGGGUACUAGAGAGAGCAUGAGUAGCUAAGUUUCUGAAAUUUACAGUGAAUGGAAAAAGAUAGGCAUAAAUGAAACAAUCACAAAAAUAAAUGUAACAGCUACAGUUACAGUUGUAAAACUGUGGUCAGUGCUAUGGAGGAGUGUACAAGGUGAUAUGAGAGAUCAUAAUAGGGAAGUUAAAUCUCUGGUUCAUGUAAAACUGCCAUGGACACACUCUCAGUGAACUUAGAGCUAAAAGAGGAGUAAUAGCCAUUAGACACAAAAAAGCAGAUAGAAAAUGUUCUGGGAAGAAUAAUGUCUAUAAAGGAUCUGGGGUAGGAGAGAGCAUUGUUCUUUGGUGAUAUGAGAUUGGAGGGAUAGGUGAAUAUAAAACAUAAGCAUAAAAACUAGAUAGUAUUUAAAUCCUUUCCUUGGAUCUUAAUGAGAAGCACUAAAGAGAUUUAAAUAGAGAAUGACAACAUGUAAUUUGGCUUUUAAACAAAGUUAUGUUUUUUAAUGCAGAAAAUAAAUUGGAAUGAAGCCCAUGUGAAUGCAUGGAGACAAGGUGAAAAGGUAGAUGAGAAAAAAGUUGGAAAUAUUUGCAGGUACAUUUGACAGGACCAGGAGAUGUCUUGGGCAUUCAUGAUGAUGGAAGAGUGGUCAAUAAUGACUCUAUUUUCUAGCUUGUAUCAUGAGAUGAAUGGAGACCCGUAGAAGAAUAAGUUUUGUGAGUGACUGGGUCAUGUAAUAUAUUUUGGAUUUGUUAAAUGUGAACUACUUUUAAGAAACUGUGGGGAAAAACUUCGUUUUGUUUACAUCCAUGAAUCAUUUGAAGCACGAAAAAUAAUUCUCAGCUGAAGAUACAAAUAUGAGGGCCCUGGGUGUAUAACUGAAGGCACGAGUAUAAAUGGGAUUAUUUAGGGAGGGCUUAAAAGUGGAUAGAGAGUAAAUUCACAGACUAUAGGUACAAAAUAAUCACCAAUGACAAUAUAUUAUGCAGCUUAAGACCAAUUGUAUGUAUUUUCCUGACAAUGUCUUUUAGAGCCUGUGACUAGUUUUCUCCUGAAGAUGUGGUGAUCUUCUUAUCAAUUUUUAAGAGUACUUAAAUGUUUUAACAAUUAUAUUUAACUCAAAAUUAGUUUCCA